CCUGCGCCAGCGAUGGCCGCUUGCGAGGUGCUGCAUGGUUGUCGUCAGCUCGUGCCGUGAGGGUGUCGGGUUAAGUCCCAUAACGAGCGCAACCCCUACUGCUAGUUGCCAGCGGGUCAUGCCGGGGACUCUAGCGGAACUGCCAGCGUAAGCUGCGAGGAAGGUGGGGAUGACGUCAAAUCAGCACGGCCCUUACGUCCAGGGCUACACACGUGUUACAAUGGCCGGUACAGAGGGCAGCCACCCCGCGAGGGGGCGCGAAUCCCGAAAGCCGGUCCCAGUUCGGAUCGGAGUCUGCAACCCGACUCCGUGAAGCUGGAUUCGCUAGUAAUCGCGCAUCAGCCACGGCGCGGUGAAUACGUUCCCGGGCCUU
This 373-nucleotide ribosomal RNA is filed under the name uncultured Rikenellaceae bacterium. RNAcentral's name for it is "bacterial SSU rRNA". It matches the Rfam family "Bacterial small subunit ribosomal RNA", at positions 1010 to 1382 of the family's 1533-position model. Lineage: Bacteria; Pseudomonadati; Bacteroidota; Bacteroidia; Bacteroidales; Rikenellaceae. The record is from RNAcentral.